CAAUAGCGUAUAUUUAAGUUGUUGCAGCUAAAAAGCUCGUAGUUGGAUUUCGGAUGGGAUUUGCCGGUCCGUCGUUACGAUGUGCACUGGCCAGUCCUAUCUUGUUGUCGGGGACUAGCUCCUUGGAUUCACUUCCUGGGACUAGGAGCUGACGAGGUUACUUUGAGUAAAUUAGAGUGUUCAAAGCAAGCCUACGCUCUGAAUACAUUAGCAUGGAAUAACGCGAUAGGACUCUGGCUUAUCUUGUUGGUCUGUGAGACCAGAGUAAUGAUUAAGAGGGACAGUCGGGGACAUUCGUAUUUCAUUGUCAGAGGUGAAAUUCUUGGAUUUAUGAAAGACGAACUUCUGCGAAAGCAUUUGUCAAGGAUGUUUUCAUUAA
Molecule: ribosomal RNA, 379 nt
Filed under: uncultured eukaryote
Lineage: Eukaryota
Description: partial 18S ribosomal RNA
Rfam family: Eukaryotic small subunit ribosomal RNA
Source: RNAcentral